This 492-nucleotide ribosomal RNA is filed under the name uncultured bacterium. Its description in RNAcentral is "partial 16S ribosomal RNA". It matches the Rfam family "Bacterial small subunit ribosomal RNA", at positions 29 to 507 of the family's 1533-position model. The record is from RNAcentral.
AGUGAACGCUGGCGGUAGGCCUAACACAUGCAAGUCGAACGGCAGCACAGUAAGAGCUUGCUCUUACGGGUGGCGAGUGGCGGACGGGUGAGGAAUACAUCGGAAUCUACUUUUUCGGGGGGGAUAACGUAGGGAAACUUACGCUAAUACCGCAUACGACCUACGGGUGAAAGCAGGGGAUCUUCGGACCUUGCGCGAUUGAAUGAGCCGAUGUCGGAUUAGCUAGUUGGCGGGGUAAAGGCCCACCAAGGCGACGAUCCGUAGCUGGUCCGAGAGGAUGAUCAGCCACACUGGAACUGAGACACGGUCCAGACUCCUACGGGAGGCAGCAGCGGGGAAUAUUGGACAAUGGGCGCAAGCCUGAUCCAGCCAUACCGCGUGGGUGAAGAAGGCCUUCGGGUUGUAAAGCCCUUUUGUUGGGAAAGAAAAGCAGCAGGUUAAUACCCCGCUGUUCUGACGGUACCCAAAGAAUAAGCACCUGCUAACUUCGUG